GAUGAAGAACGCAGCGAAAUGCGAUAAGUAAUGUGAAUUGCAGAAUUCAGUGAAUCAUCGAAUCUUUGAACGCACAUUGCGCCCUCUGGUAUUCCGGGGGGCAUGCCUGUUCGAGCGUCAUUAUAACCACUCAAGCUCUCGCUUGGUAUUGGGGUUCGCGGUUUCGCGGCCCCUAAAAUCAGUGGCGGUGCCUGUCGGCUCUACGCGUAGUAAUACUUCUCGCGAUUGAGUUCGAUAGGUCUACUUGCCAGUAACCCCCAAUUUUUACAGGUUGACCUCGGAUCAGGUAGGGAUACCCGAUGAACUUAAGCAUAUCAAUAAGCGGAGGA
Molecule: unclassified non-coding RNA, 329 nt
Filed under: soil metagenome
Description: partial contains 5.8S ribosomal RNA, internal transcribed spacer 2, and large subunit ribosomal RNA
Rfam family: 5.8S ribosomal RNA (bases 1-120)
Source: RNAcentral